This 164-nucleotide ribosomal RNA is filed under the name Daucus durieua. RNAcentral describes it as "5.8S ribosomal RNA". It matches the Rfam family "5.8S ribosomal RNA". From Rfam's summary of the family: 5.8S ribosomal RNA (5.8S rRNA) is a component of the large subunit of the eukaryotic ribosome. It is transcribed by RNA polymerase I as part of the 45S precursor that also contains 18S and 28S rRNA. Lineage: Eukaryota; Viridiplantae; Streptophyta; Magnoliopsida; Apiales; Apiaceae. The record is from RNAcentral.
CAAAAUGACUCUCGGCAACGGAUAUCCCGGCUCUCGCAUCGAUGAAGAACGUAGCGAAAUGCGAUACUUGGUGUGAAUUGCAGAAUCCCGUGAACCAUCGAGUCUUUGAACGCAAGUUGCGCCCGAAGCCGUCAGGCUUAGGGCACGUCUGCCUGGGUGUCACG